UAUGUGUAUUGGUGAUUCAGAGUUCCUCGCCCCCUGGCAUUUCCGGUUCAGUUUCAGUUCCCGGUUGAGUUCCCGGUUCAGUCCAGGUACGUUGAGGCUUUGCUCAGGGUGUAAUGAGGUGAACAUCUCAAGGCUAAUUUGUUUAUUAUAGUUUUGGAGCGGCGCUGGGGGCGCGUGCGUUCAGUGAUAGUAACAUUAGCCGCGCGUGCGUAAUCAUACAACUUCGUGUCUGGUGUUUGUUCAACCCAAUAGAGCUGUUUAGCUGCCUCUAUUUCAUGUGGUGGUGUCAGUGGGCCUGAGUGUUCUAGCCACCACAUCACAGUGUCUGUAAUAUUUUAGUUUUUCUUUCUUUGCUUAUUGUUUAGUGUAUUGUGUAAUUCUGGGUUAAUUGGUGUUUUUCUUUCUCUCCAGGAGCCAGUGAGUCUUGGUGGACAGAGGGAAGCUAGCUGCCUUCAUUCGGUGGUGUGUGCUUCACAGCGUGCUCAGUGUCCCGGCACAACAACUUCCUUGUGGUGUAGGUAGUGUUUAAUGAUUUGGUUUUAAUUAAGGUGGGUUUGGAUGACCUCCCAGGAAGUAGCUGGCCUGCGUUGUUCCCACCAAGCCUGGGCCUGGAGAAUUGCUUAGUUUUAAAAUUCUUUUUGUGCUUCAUGGGAGAGCGACUUUAUAUUUAUAAGUUUUAAUGAUGCUUAAGUGUGAUAAUAAAAUGUAACUUUUAUUGAUA
Molecule: long non-coding RNA, 721 nt
Organism: Ictalurus punctatus (channel catfish)
Lineage: Eukaryota; Metazoa; Chordata; Actinopteri; Siluriformes; Ictaluridae
Exons: 2
Source: RefSeq, a predicted model, not a curated record